UACAGAGGGUGCAAACGUUGUUCGGAAUUACUGGGCGUAAAGCGCGUGUAGGCUGCUUCGCAAGUCGGAUGUGAAAGCCCUGGGCUCAACCCAGGAAGUGCAUUCGAAACUGCAGAGCUGGAGUCCUGGAGAGGAAGGCGGAAUUCUCGGUGUAGAGGUGAAAUUCGUAGAUAUCGAGAGGAACACCGGCGGCGAAGGCGGCCUUCUGGGCUGACCCUGACGCUGAGGCGCGGAAGCGUGGGGAGCGAACUGA
Molecule: ribosomal RNA, 253 nt
Filed under: uncultured bacterium
Lineage: Bacteria
Description: partial 16S ribosomal RNA
Rfam family: Bacterial small subunit ribosomal RNA
Source: RNAcentral